AAUCUAAACAUUACAGUUUACAGGAUUUCAUUGAACUUAUUAUUCUAACACUUACAGAUUAAGUUAUUGUUUGUUGUGACAAUAUAACUACAAAAGAAAAAAUGUUUAGACAGUAUUCAAUAGUUAAUUGAUUUGUUUUAUUAUACAAAACAUUUUAUUAUUUAAUUAUAUUGUAAUAUAUAACUACAUACUUAAUGUUGUAAACUAUAUAUAACCACUUAUUAUAUUAGGUGUACAUAUUUUAAAUAAUUUGUAUUAGUUAUUAGAAUACUAAUUGUUAAGUUUACUUUUGUUGUAAUUUUACAUUUUAUGAACUACUGUUAUUAAUAAUGUAAUGAACAGUGUUUGGAGUAGAUAACUAAUAAUUUAUCUAGAUUAAGAUGACUGAACUAAAUUGUAUCUAGAUAAACAUAUUAUUAAUAAAUUUUAAUUUUAAUCUAGAUAAAUAUCAGAUAACUUAAUAUUUAUUUUUGCUAAUAGUAGCAAGGUAACAAUGAUAGCAAAGGUAAAUGUUUUGCUAUUGCCUAUUGUUAGUUGCUAUUACAACCAAACAUAACAUUAUUUUAUGCUUUUGGGUGUAAUCAUUGUUUAAAUGUAAAACUACAGACUAAUUUCUACAGACAAACUAAAAACUACAGACAAACAUUCAAUAUUGAAAUACAUGGUUUAAUAAUAAAUUUUAUCAAAUGUCUGUUUUCUAUGUAAUAAAUAUACAGUACACAGAAAAAUGUAAAUACAAUAACUACCAAUAUAACUAUUUUUAAUUUUCAAUUUUUUUUUAGUCUGUUAAAAUAAAUUAUCUAGAUAAGUAAUGAUAGAUAAAUAUAAUUUUAUCUAGAUGAAAGAUGAAUAAAAUUGAACUGAAAAUUAUCUAGAUAAGAUAAAAGAUAAAUCAUUUUUAUCUAGAUAUUUUCCAACACUGGUUAUAUACAUAGGUAUUAUUCUUUUUGGCUAUGCAAUGCAAAAAAGAGCUAAUACUGGGGUUGGGAGAGACCACUGUUGUAGGUGAC
Cinara cedri is the source of this 1010-nucleotide non-coding RNA. NCBI's taxonomy places the organism in Eukaryota, Metazoa, Arthropoda, Insecta, Hemiptera, Aphididae. The record is from the annotation of a GenBank genome assembly.